AUUGAACGCUGGCGGAAUGCUUUACACAUGCAAGUCGAACGGCAGCACGGACUUCGGUCUGGUGGCGAGUGGCGAACGGGUGAGUAACAUAUCGGAACGUAUCCAAUAAUGGGGGAUAACUAAUCGAAAGGUUGGCUAAUACCGCAUACGCCCUACGGGGGAAAGCAGGGGAUCUUCGGACCUUGCGUUAAUGGAGCGGCUGAUAUCUGGUUAGCUAGUUGGUGAGGUAAAGGCUCACCAAGGCGACGAUCAGUAGCUGGUCUGAGAGGACGACCAGCCACACUGGAACUGAGGCACGGUCCAGACUCCUACGGGAGGCAGCAGUGGGGAAUUUUGGACAAUGGGCGCAAGCCUGAUCCAGCCAUUCCGCGUGAGUGAAGAAGGCCUUCGGGUUGUAAAGCUCUUUCGCAAGGGAAGGAAACUUGCUUUCUAAUAAAGAGUGAGGUUGACGGUACCUUGAUAAGAAGCACCGGCUAACUACGUGCCAGCCGCCGCCGUAA
RNAcentral lists this ribosomal RNA (500 nucleotides) under uncultured bacterium. Its description in RNAcentral is "partial 16S ribosomal RNA". It matches the Rfam family "Bacterial small subunit ribosomal RNA", at positions 30 to 523 of the family's 1533-position model. The record is from RNAcentral.